CUACGGGGCGCUGCAGUAAGGAAUAUUGCGCAAUGGAGGCAACUCUGACGCAGCCAUGCCGCGUGCAGGAAGAAGGCCUUAUGGGUCGUAAACUACUUUUAUUUAGGAAUAAACCCCCGAACGUGUUCGGGGCUGAAGGUACUAAACGAAUAAGCACCGGCUAACUCCGUGCCAGCAGCCGCGGUAAUACGGAGGGUGCAGGCGUUAUCCGGAUUUAUUGGGUUUAAAGGGUGCGCAGGCGGGCUAUUAAGUCAGUGGUGAAAUCCCGGGGCUCAACUCCGGAACUGCCAUUGAUACUGAUAGUCUUGAGUUUGGUUGAAGUGGGCGGAAUGUAGCAUGUAGCGGUGAAAUGCAUAGAUAUGCUACAGAACACCAAUCGCGAAGGCAGCUCACUAAGCCAAAACUGACGCUCAUGCACGAAAGCGUGGGGAUCAAACAGGAUUAGAUACCCCUGUAGUC
RNAcentral lists this ribosomal RNA (459 nucleotides) under uncultured bacterium. Its description in RNAcentral is "partial 16S ribosomal RNA". It matches the Rfam family "Bacterial small subunit ribosomal RNA", at positions 339 to 795 of the family's 1533-position model. The record is from RNAcentral.